UGUGUUUAAAUGUCCUCCUAAACGCUCCUGUAGAUGAGGUGGGACUUUCUUUUUCAGAGGUAGUUGAAUCUCGAAUGUGUUAUGCUGGGGUUAAGGGCGCGUGAUUACUAAACCACUACAUGUGAGUGAUUAGUUUGGCACCGCCCUAAUCCCCGGUAGUCUGAAUAAGAUAAAAAGAUGCUGUUAAACUUCCCUUGUUCCUUUUGCUACCUUGUACGCGCCAUGUUGUUUCUGCUCUGCGAGGCCUGUUUGUCAUCCCUGUCGUGGAGCCAGCCAACUGUGGACUGAAACCUCUACAAACUGCUUUUCCAAGGAGAAUGUGCUGUUUAAGCACCAAAGGAUGAUGGAGAAACCAUUUAUGGAAAUUGAGAAGCUUGGAGAAGAAACAGAUCAAGAGGAGGAAAGCAAGACUCUUCUCCGGGAUUCACCAAAGAGAACAUAUGCCAACGGAGGAAGAGAACGACGCCGGCAG
Heterocephalus glaber (naked mole-rat) is the source of this 472-nucleotide long non-coding RNA. The record is from Ensembl. Lineage: Eukaryota; Metazoa; Chordata; Mammalia; Rodentia; Bathyergidae.